AAAUAGAAAGUGCUAUUUUGACACCAAUUUCGGUGCUAAUUUAACACCACCAAAUCUGACAUUACGCUAAAAGUGCCAAUAUGACACCUUAUAAUUUCAGCACCUUUGCAAGGUGCUGAAAUAGCACCUAUUUCGCAGACGGAAAGUGCUAAAAUAACGCCAGAUUGAGAGUUAAAGUAUGGGGUGUCAAAAUAACACUAAAUAGCAAUAGAGAAUUUUCGACUUUAUUACAAAGUCAUCUUCAGACAGAAUGGAUAGGGAAAGAGCGGUUAUUUAAGUUAUUGGAAAAUAAAUCUGUAUUUUCGAAUCAAUGUUUUAGAACAAGAAAUUCCUGUGCGUUUUCGCACAACUAUUCAUCUGAGUGAUCUGACGACAUGGAAAUUCGGCUUGUUCCUAUGAUACGAAAAAACCCAAUAGAGACGAAUACUAGACAAAUGGUACAUCGAUAGUGAUGCAUUGUCCUUUUCAUUUCAUCAAACUAUGUUAUUCCGUGCUAUAUUUUCGGACUGCUUAUGUAUUGAUUGCUACAAAGUAUUUAUUUCGCAAUCGCCUGAUAUGUAUGUCCAUAUAAGGAACAAAAUAUAACACGUGAUCAGCGCCUGUAUGCAAAUUUUGAGCGCGUCGUUUGAAAACUCUUUUGAAUCGUAUUUCAUACUGCAGUGUUGAAGACGUUUUCAGCGUAUUUUCUUAACUAUUUUGGUACUUCUAAAUAUGCUGAACACCAACGGACUCACAUAAGGAAAUAUCAAGACAAUUGGCUAUGAUAUUAUCUCAGAAAUAUCUUGAGAAGCCAAAUGAAUUCUACUUUUAAUACUGCGAUGAUCUCUUUAGCAAUCUGGGUCAAAGAAAAUAUCAUUGCAAUAAUAGUUUUCACCAAGAUUGAAUGAAGGCCUCAAAUGUGGCAAAUUAAGGGGAAACUGUAAUUCUAAUGAUAUGACAAGGGUAUGAAGGGAUAUUUACUGUCAACAAUGAAAGUGUAUACAAUUAAUGUAUCCAACCAUGGAAGAAAAACAAAAUAUUUCAUCUAUGAUAAUUUAGAAAUAUCCCUUCCUUGCUGACUCAAUUGUGGUUGUGGAACAGGUUCAUGGACCAUAACAAGGCCAUAGAUUGAAACAAUUUUAGAAGAAUAUCCUGCACUACAGCUCAUUACAGAGAUCAGGACCCAAGGCUAAUUCGUUCAGAAGACCUUUCAGAUGUUCAAACUUUCAUGAUUGCGGUGGAGGGGCAAAUGUUAACUUAUCAAAGAACAGACUCAACUUCAUUUUAUCUACUAAACAUGGAGUACAUUGCUGGUGAGGCAAAUGUGUGUGCAUUUUUGGAAACUGCUCUCGUCGGGAAGCCUUAGGACAAAAACUUUUGAAGGACUUUAAGUACCGUAAAAUUUUAAACAUUCU
Molecule: long non-coding RNA, 1394 nt
Organism: Dendronephthya gigantea
Lineage: Eukaryota; Metazoa; Cnidaria; Anthozoa; Malacalcyonacea; Nephtheidae
Exons: 5
Source: RefSeq, a predicted model, not a curated record